AUGACGUACUUGUACUGAUUGAGAUUUUAACACGAAGUGAGUGGCGAACGGGUGAGUAACACGUGGGUAACCUGCCCAGAAGUAGGGGAUAACACCUGGAAACAGAUGCUAAUACCGUAUAACAGAGAAAACCGCAUGGUUUUCUUUUAAAAGAUGGCUCUGCUAUCACUUCUGGAUGGACCCGCGGCGUAUUAGCUAGUUGGUGAGGUAAAGGCUCACCAAGGCAGUGAUACGUAGCCGACCUGAGAGGGUAAUCGGCCACAUUGGGACUGAGACACGGCCCAGACUCCUACGGGAGGCAGCAGUAGGGAAUCUUCCACAAUGGACGCAAGUCUGAUGGAGCAACGCCGCGUGAGUGAAGAAGGGUUUCGGCUCGUAAAGCUCUGUUGUUAAAGAAGAACGUGGGUAAGAGUAACUGUUUACCCAGUGACGGUAUUUAACCAGAAAGCCACGGCUAACUACGUGCCAGCAGCCGCGGUAAUACGUAGGUGGCAAGCGUUAUCCGGAUUUAUUGGGCGUAAAGCGAGCG
RNAcentral lists this ribosomal RNA (529 nucleotides) under Pediococcus pentosaceus. RNAcentral describes it as "bacterial SSU rRNA". It matches the Rfam family "Bacterial small subunit ribosomal RNA", at positions 59 to 571 of the family's 1533-position model. Lineage: Bacteria; Bacillati; Bacillota; Bacilli; Lactobacillales; Lactobacillaceae. The record is from RNAcentral.